GAGUUUGAUCAUGGCUCAGGAUGAACGCUAGCGACAGGCUUAACACAUGCAAGUCGAGGGGCAGCGGGGGAGUAGCAAUACUCCCGCCGGCGACCGGCGCACGGGUGAGUAACACGUAUGAAACCUGCCCGUAGCAGGGGGAUAAGCGGAAGAAAUUCCGUCUAAUACCGCGUAACAACCCAUGGAGGCAUCUCCGUGGGUUUAAAGGAAGCGAUUCCGGCUACGGAUGGUCAUGCGUCGCAUUAGCUUGUUGGCGGGGUAACGGCCCACCAAGGCGACGAUGCGUAGGGGUUCUGAGAGGAAGGUCCCCCACACUGGUACUGAGACACGGACCAGACUCCUACGGGAGGCAGCAGUGAGGAAUAUUGGUCAAUGGCCGCAGGGCUGAACCAGCCAAGUCGCGUGAGGGAUGACGGUCCUAUGGAUUGUAAACCUCUUUUGUCAGGGAGCAAAGGGCGCCACGUGUGGCGUUUUGCGAGUACCUGAAGAAAAAGCAUCGGCUAACUCCGUGCCAGCAGCCGCGGUAAUACGGAGGAUGCGAGCGUUAUCCGGAUUUAUUGGGUUUAAAGGGUGCGCAGGCGGAAUGUCAAGUCAGCGGUAAAAUUUCGGGGCUCAACCCCGUCGUGCCGUUGAAACUGGCGUUCUUGAGUGAGCGAGAAGUAUGCGGAAUGCGUGGUGUAGCGGUGAAAUGCAUAGAUAUCACGCAGAACUCCGAUUGCGAAGGCAGCAUACCGGCGCUCAACUGACGCUCAUGCACGAAAGCGUGGGUAUCGAACAGGAUUAGAUACCCUGGUAGUCCACGCAGUAAACGAUGAAUACUAACUGUCCGGGCAGAAUGAUGCCUGGGUGGUACAGCGAAAGCGUUAAGUAUUCCACCUGGGGAGUACGCCGGCAACGGUGAAACUCAAAGGAAUUGACGG
This 920-nucleotide ribosomal RNA is filed under the name uncultured bacterium. RNAcentral's name for it is "bacterial SSU rRNA". It matches the Rfam family "Bacterial small subunit ribosomal RNA", at positions 9 to 916 of the family's 1533-position model. The record is from RNAcentral.